RNAcentral lists this ribosomal RNA (296 nucleotides) under Bishopella laciniosa. RNAcentral describes it as "partial 12S ribosomal RNA". The record is from RNAcentral. Lineage: Eukaryota; Metazoa; Arthropoda; Arachnida; Opiliones; Phalangodidae.
AGAGAUGUUUAUAAUUAGUAAAUGUUGAAAUUUAAAAUAUUUGGCGGUAAAAUGUAUUUGGAGGAACUUGUUUAUUAAAUUGAAUUUGCCCAUUAAAUUUUACUAUAAUGUGAUUAUUUAUCUCUGUUUAUAGAGUAAUCUUAUAUAUGUAGAUGUUACGACAAGUCAAGAUGUAUUUUUAUUAUAGGUUAAAUGAGUUACAUUGAGGAAAUUAGAGGAUUUAAAAAAGAUUUAAUUAAUGAAAGUGAAUUUAAUAGUAAUUGGAUUAUAGAGUUAAUUGAUGAAGAUAAAUUUUU